Molecule: small nucleolar RNA, 107 nt
Organism: Dioscorea cayenensis subsp. rotundata (Guinea yam)
Lineage: Eukaryota; Viridiplantae; Streptophyta; Magnoliopsida; Dioscoreales; Dioscoreaceae
Source: RefSeq, a predicted model, not a curated record
AUUCCAUGUUGAGGACACUUCAUCAACAAUUCUUUGUACCUUUCCUAUGACUUGUAUAAAGUUUCAAACUCCAUCUGUCGAAAAGAAGAUAUGUCAUUACUAAGCUU